GAUCAUGGCUCAGGAUGAACGCUGGCGGCGUGCUUAACACAUGCAAGUCGAACGGGAAACCUUUUAUUGAAGCUUCGGCAGAUUUAAAUUGUUUCUAGUGGCGGACGGGUGAGUAACGCGUGGGUAACCUGCCCUAUACAGGGGGAUAACAACCAGAAAUGGUUGCUAAUACCGCAUAAGCGCACAGGACCGCAUGGUCCGGUGUGAAAAACUCCGGUGGUAUAGGAUGGACUCGCGUUGGAUUAGCCAGUUGG
Molecule: ribosomal RNA, 254 nt
Filed under: uncultured bacterium
Lineage: Bacteria
Description: partial 16S ribosomal RNA
Rfam family: Bacterial small subunit ribosomal RNA
Source: RNAcentral